RNAcentral lists this ribosomal RNA (589 nucleotides) under uncultured Glomus. RNAcentral describes it as "SSU rRNA". It matches the Rfam family "Eukaryotic small subunit ribosomal RNA", at positions 624 to 1213 of the family's 1831-position model. The record is from RNAcentral. Lineage: Eukaryota; Fungi; Glomeromycota; Glomeromycetes; Glomerales; Glomeraceae.
AAGCUCGUAGUUGAAUUUCGGGAUCAAUAUUUCGGUCAUGCCGUUGGUAUGCACUGUUAUCAUUGAUUUCUCACCUUCUAAAGAACCGUGAUGCCAUUAAUUUGGUGUUACGGGGAAUUAGGACUGUUACCUUGAAAAAAUUAGAGUGUUUAAAGCAGGCUCACGCUUGAAUACAUUAGCAUGGAAUAAUGAAAUAGGACAUCCGAUUCUAUUUUGUUGGUUUCUAGGAUCGAUGUAAUGAUUAAUAGGGAUAGUUGGGGGCAUUAGUAUUCAAUUGUCAGAGGUGAAAUUCUUGGAUUUAUUGAAGACUAACUACUGCGAAAGCAUUUGCCAAGGAUGUUUUCAUUAAUCAAGAACGAAAGUUAGGGGAUCGAAGACGAUCAGAUACCGUCGUAGUCUUAACCAUAAACUAUGCCGACUAGGGAUCGGAUGAUGUUAAUUUUUUAAUGACUCAUUCGGCGCCUUACGGGAAACCAAAGUGUUUGGGUUCCGGGGGGAGUAUGGUCGCAAGGCUGAAACUUGAAGGAAUUGACGGAAGGGCACCACCAGGGGUGGAGCCUGCGGCUUAAUUUGACUCAACACGGGGAAA